Hypanus sabinus (Atlantic stingray) is the source of this 479-nucleotide long non-coding RNA. RefSeq lists it as uncharacterized. NCBI's taxonomy places the organism in Eukaryota, Metazoa, Chordata, Chondrichthyes, Myliobatiformes, Dasyatidae. The transcript has 4 exons. The record is from RefSeq and is a predicted model, not a curated record.
UUUAAGAAAAGUUGAACCUCCUCGUUACUGUCACACGAAAUCAGCGAUCAUAACUUCGCAGCAAACAACGACUUUUGGAUGAACAGCUCGUUCAGGCACCACGAGAAGCUUGGAGGGCUGCGCUCCGACUGCUCCUGGGUUUCCCUUUGAUCUCCAGACACCCUUACGAAGCACAAAAAAAAGAAAAUGUUGGAAAAACUCAACAGAUGUCCCAGAGUUGAAUGAAGAGCCAAUGAAAAGGCAUCUGAAGUUGAUAUGGCAGGAGUUGAUACAUUUCAUCACUGGCCCCUCAAAGCGCUUCAUCACAGUGGACGCAAGUGGUACUGGAUGAUAGUCAAUGAGGAGAUGUCUGGGUUUCCAUUGCAACAAAUCCCAGUUUUCUUUCUGACGUCAAUGCUGGAUCAGCAUUCUUUGAAAGGCAAUGGGUCACAGGGGUCGAUGCAUCAGAAUGCUGUGUAUCCAAAAGCUGUUGUAUCUGC